GCGUCGGUGGUUCAGCGGUGGAAUACCUUGCCUGCCACGCGGGUGGCCUGGGUUCGAUUCCCGGCCGACGCA
Non-coding RNA from Rhipicephalus sanguineus (brown dog tick), 72 nucleotides. NCBI's taxonomy places the organism in Eukaryota, Metazoa, Arthropoda, Arachnida, Ixodida, Ixodidae. The record is from the annotation of a RefSeq genome assembly.